AUGAGGAGCAACAGACAUUUUAGAAAGAUUGGCACACUCCAGUGGCUGUCUUGGCGAAGAGUUCAGGAAGUGUGUCUGGGGCAGAAUGUUGGCAGCACAGCACAGUGCCAAAGGCAUGUGGCACAUCCUGGUAAGAGCCUUGCCAAACCUACUUCCCACCUCCUCCUCCAUCACCACACGCACACACACUUGAGGCUGGAUCCCUUACUUCACUCCACUCUUACUAAACUAGUGUGGAGAAUGAGCCCAGGGCUUCACUGGGCCCAAGUUAUCACUGAAAGAUUCCAAAACGAUCCUGGAGUUUUUCCCCCUCCCAGGACACUCUCUUCCCUGCAAAGUCACCUUUCAACACAGAAGGCAGUACUCACCCUUAACUGUUCAAAGAGCUCUGCCAAUUUGAAGAAGCUCCUAGGAGGCAGUGGGGAGGAGGGAGGCAGCAGAGCCUCAGAGGGAGCCCUCCCCCAGCCACCAUCCCUGGCUUCCGGGAAACCUUGCUCCUGCUAAAGUUUACAUAGCAGUUAAUCAUCUGGGCUUCGACAAUGGGCUCUGCUCAUCCUGGGACAUGGAAAAAUGGGAUUUGGUUUGUCAUUCACAUUGGGAGGCUUCUAGAGAUAAAAAGAAAUCCUCUGUGCCUGGCUAUUUAAAGAGACACAGGGAGGGCUAGGGGCCCUUCCACCCUCUGCCUUCACACGGAAGAGCCGUGGAGGUUAGAUCAAUGUUUUCCUUUUUCUCACUGCACCAGGGCUACCCACCCUUCUCCCAGAACGUACGCCAAGGGCCCAGGCCUGGCAGCCGCCUCCUCCAUCCCUGGCGAGGCUGUGAUGGAAGAACACUGAACGGGCACUCAGGCACCCAGGUCCCAGAGCGAUCAGGGCUCCCCAGUGAUCCUAGGUAGGUGAUGGGCACGGCCAGGUGAUCUCUAAGUUUCCCUCUACUUUGAGCUGCCUAGAGGUGCCAUGCCAUCUGUCAACCUCCCCAUCAGCAGCGUGCGCCCAUCGCAGUGUGGCUGGAAGGUCAAGGGUGCUAAUACACGAUGUGCCUGGCCUGGAACAAAGGCUAUGUGGGUGUGACCGUCCCCACAGCUAAGAGUCUGACCCAGAACUGACAAGCGCCCUCUAUUUAGGGAAUGCGGCUCUUCCUCCUCUGGUCCUGGCAGGGUAUGGGAAAGAGACUGGACCCUGUGGCCACCAUGGAGAACAAAACGGGGUCCUGGGGUCAGCAGGCACUGACCGCUUAGACCAUGGGCAGGCCACUUAAUCGAGCAGGUUCUUGUCUUGACUUGAGGGCCACUGCUACCUGUAAAAGGCUAAAACUUUGCAUAGAAUGUAUCCACUGUUUUGAUUAAUUUCCCUGUAGGUGGGGGAAAAAAGCCUGUAAAACAAAAACGCUGAAACACAGAAAAUGACAGUUCUUUUAUUUUGCUAGCUGAGGGGAAAGUUAUAAAAUAAAACAGACAACACAGAGCCUUACAACUUCCUUGGAUAGGCAAUGAACACAGAGACGAACAAUGACCAGGUAACAAACACAGGGAUACAGACAUGUAAACAAGACAGAACUUCCAGAGAAAGUUAUUUUAUACAUUACAACUUCCAGAAUACAGCAGCUCUUGCAGGCUCUAAAGUAAAAUGAAGCAAGACUCUUCCAAAACCAUCCACACACAUUCAGAGCUUUGUCAGAGAAGGCCCCCUCCCGCGUCCCAGGCUGUGUGGAUGCUGCAGGAGAGGCCAAGGCUGGGUCCACCUGGGCUUUGGCUUUGCAGGGGGGCUCCACCUGCUCUGUGCUCUCUUUCGAGUUUGCCUUCUCAUUCUUUGGCAGACUAGCUCCAGCCCCUGCCUGUCUCUCCCUUUUGACCCACAGCCCUUUCCUGUUCUUAGUAGGAAACCCGGGUAAAGCCAGGGGAGCCUGGCCGAGUCCUUCUAAUGGAGCAGGGGUGCAGGGGUGGCUCCCUCCUCAGAGGCUCAAGGGCCAACCCUGUCGUUAGAAAAACAGCAAAAAGGCUACAAAGAUAACUGGUUAACCAUCUCAUACUGUUCUCCCUCCAGAAGCUUCUGAUGUGUUUGGUUAUUACUCUGUCCCAUUUUUUUUGCUCCUGUCCUAGGGUUUUUGACUCAGCCAGGAAAGAGCAGACCUCGCAGCCUGGCCCUGCACUCUUCUUGUUACUGCCGGCGGUGGACCCCUGGGCGCAUCACAGACUCAUCACCCCACCACUGGUCUUAGCCCCACGGCCCCAGCCAGACAAACCCUCGACCUCUGGAAUGGUGAGUUGUUCUGCCCAUGGUCUGUCAUCAGGAGGCCAGGGGGCUCUUGGUCACUCGGAGGCUGGCCUUGAAAGGAUGUAGGAAGGAGGCAGAAUUCCAAGGAGGGAAGGGCAGAAGCUGUGAUGGGCUGACCCGUCAGGAGGAGAGAACGGGGCGCAGUGCACCCUCCCCCAGGGCUGGAGGGAAGUCUUCGAUUAAAUAUCUCGGGAAAGAUGAGGGUGGGUGAGGGCGGCCACCCCACAGCCGAGGCACAGGGGAGGUGUGAAAUGUCCAGGAUAAAUAGAACUGCGUGGGGAGGAGAAAAGCCAGCUCCAUCCUCUCUUAAAAGCAGUCGCCAUCGGCACCAAAAAUAUAUUAAUAUCUGUACACUUGUCAUCUUUUUAAAAAAGAAAUAAAACCUCCUUGGCACCAGUAGUUGACUUCUUAAAAAUGAGGUGAUAUGUGGCAAGGCCUCCUGUGUAUGCACGUCCACGGCUGUGCACACGCACGUGCAUCUCCCUGUCAACGAGCAGAGCCCUGUAGCCCUGAGCAAGAGGAACACAGCCGGGUGGGCCAUCGCUAGCUCCUCCAUCGCUGGUGUUUGCCGGGGUGUCCUUUGUAAGGGCACCCGACUGCCAUCCACAGGGAACCAGCUGCCCCUGCCCUGGGGCUUCAGAGGCGAGGGACAAGAGAAUCACCUUCCCGUACCUCGUCUGGGAAGAAGUCCUAUCUUUGGACUCAGCUGCUCCACAGGGAAGGCAGUCCCGGCCUCGCCCUGCCCCACAUGGCUGCCCAGGCUCAGAGCAGCCUCUGCCCAAAGACACCAGUGCAAAUACAAACAGAGGUCAGUAGUGCCAGCCUGAGCGAGCACGCGUGGCCAGCUCCAGGCCUGUCCUGGGUGCUCCGGCAGGAAGCCGCAGAGGGCGGGCUGGCGGGGCAGCGAGGAGGCGCCCCCACCCUCUCGGGGCGCCGCCGCCCACCUUCUUGGAGGUCUUGCGCAGCAGCGGGCUGUCGGGGUGGUGCUCCUUGAGGUGGAGGACGUGGCCCUCCUGGCUCUCGGACGUGCAGCCGCACUCCUCGCACACGUACAGCUUGGCCCGCCGCUCCUUGUAUGCGUACUUCUGCUGCACACCGUGGAUCUUCUUGAGGUGGGACUCCAGAGAGCAGCGCUGCGUGAAGGCCUUGUCACACAGGCUGCACUUGUAGGGCCGCACACCUGCAAGGUGGGUAGCACGGGCAUCAGGGACCCAGCUCUGGGGCACAGGAGCCCCAGCUCCCCAGCGGCCCGAGGGAGGGGAGAAGGAUGUCUGCGCCCCCCCGCCAUAGCCACGCGGCUGCUGGGCCUCGCUGCCUGGCGGGCCCCUCUCACCUGUGUGGGUGCGCACAUGCCUCUUGAGGUCGAAGGUGUCGUUGAAGCCCUUCCCGCAGUAAGUGCAGAGAUGCCUCUUGACGUCAUUGUGGCACUUCAUGUGGCGGUUCAGCAUGCGCUGGUAGGUGAAGGCCUUCUGGCAGAUGUGGCAGGUGAAGAGGUCUCCGCUGGGACCGUCCCCCAGCGUUACCUGUGGGCGAGGGCGGUGUGUGUGACAGACACCCAGGAGCUGGGGCUGCAGGUGGCAGAUCGGGAAGACACACCGCGCCAGCCCCCAGCCCCGAGGGGCGCUGCCCAUCCAGGGGCCACACCUCUGGGCCGCUGGCUCCCAGAGAUGGGGUGGUGGGG
This 3954-nucleotide long non-coding RNA is filed under the name Ovis aries (sheep). Its description in RNAcentral is "lncRNA (ENSOARG00000026118.1)". The record is from RNAcentral. Lineage: Eukaryota; Metazoa; Chordata; Mammalia; Artiodactyla; Bovidae.